UGGCCCAACUGAUAUGACGUGCUUGCACUGAAUUGACGUUGGAUUACCAGUGAGCGGCGGACGGGUGAGUAACACGUGGGCAACCUGCCCUGAAGCGGGGGAUAACAUCUGGAAACAGGUGCUAAUACCGCAUAACAACGAAAACCACAUGGUUUUCGUUUCAAAGAUGGUUUCGGCUAUCACUUCAGGAUGGGCCCGCGGUGCAUUAGCUAGUUGGUAAGGUAACGGCUUACCAAGGCAAUGAUGCAUAGCCGAGUUGAGAGACUGAUCGGCCACAAUGGAACUGAGACACGGUCCAUACUCCUACGGGAGGCAGCAGUAGGGAAUCUUCCACAAUGGGCGCAAGCCUGAUGGAGCAACACCGCGUGAGUGAAGAAGGGUUUCGGCUCGUAAAGCUCUGUUGUUGGAGAAGAACGUGCGUGAGAGUAACUGUUCACGCAGUGACGGUAUCCAACCAGAAAGUCACGGCUAACUACGUGCCAGCAGCCGCGGUAAUACGUAGGUGGCAAGCGUUAUCCGGAUUUAUUGGGCGUAAAGCGAGCGCAGGCGGUUGCUUAGGUCUGAUGUGAAAGCCUUCGGCUUAACCGAAGAAGGGCAUCGGAAACCGGGCGACUUGAGUGCAGAAGAGGACAGAGGAACUCCAUGUGUAGC
This 651-nucleotide ribosomal RNA is filed under the name Limosilactobacillus vaginalis. RNAcentral's name for it is "bacterial SSU rRNA". It matches the Rfam family "Bacterial small subunit ribosomal RNA", at positions 45 to 679 of the family's 1533-position model. The record is from RNAcentral. Lineage: Bacteria; Bacillati; Bacillota; Bacilli; Lactobacillales; Lactobacillaceae.